CAUCUUCUGAAACCUUUGAUCCAGGAGAUCCUCUCGACUGCGAGUCUCGAGGAUCUUCUAGCAGAACGGAGGUAGGGACCCUCCGGGGGUGGAAUCAUGAUCGGACAGAGGGCUCUCCGCCCUCUGCUUCCCCUUUUCAGGGAAGAUAGGGCGACUAGCCCAAGUGGGCCACCCGAUCACCAAAUUCUGAAACUCCAGUGAUGCUCUUUCCAGCCACACAGAUGCCUGCGGUUGCUGCGGCUACUGCUGCAUGGCCUGCA
This 260-nucleotide long non-coding RNA is filed under the name Elaeis guineensis (African oil palm). RNAcentral describes it as "long non-coding RNA (EGUI_LNC074769)". Lineage: Eukaryota; Viridiplantae; Streptophyta; Magnoliopsida; Arecales; Arecaceae. The record is from RNAcentral.